AUUGAACGCUGGCGGCAUGCCUUACACAUGCAAGUCGAACGGCAGCACGGGAGCAAUCCUGGUGGCGAGUGGCGAACGGGUGAGUAAUAUAUCGGAACGUGCCCAGUCGUGGGGAUAACGUAGCGAAAGCUACGCUAAUACCGCAUACGAUCUAUGGAUGAAAGCGGGGGAUCGCAAGACCUCGCGCGAUUGGAGCGGCCGAUAUCAGAUUAGGUAGUUGGUGAGGUAAAGGCUCACCAAGCCGACGAUCUGUAGCUGGUCUGAGAGGACGACCAGCCACACUGGGACUGAGACACGGCCCAGACUCCUACGGGAGGCAGCAGUGGGGAAUUUUGGACAAUGGGCGCAAGCCUGAUCCAGCAAUGCCGCGUGCAGGAUGAAGGCCUCGGUGUAACGUAGUACGUUUUGUUACGGUAACGGUAAACGGUACGGAA
RNAcentral lists this ribosomal RNA (434 nucleotides) under uncultured bacterium. RNAcentral describes it as "bacterial SSU rRNA". It matches the Rfam family "Bacterial small subunit ribosomal RNA", at positions 30 to 463 of the family's 1533-position model. The record is from RNAcentral.